AUCUGCGAAGGGCUCCGUAUACCUGUCAUUACCUGCUGUGUCUCAGAAUACAAUGCGGAUAAUGUUGGAAACGCUAGCAAUAAUACUUUAGAAAUCCUGAAUUCUUGUUUAAGCUUGAAGCAACAAAAUCACACUGAUAGGGUGGAAUGUAUUAUAACCUAGGGAACAUGGGGCCCUCAAAGCUCCUCACCCUCAGGGUCAUCUUACUAUCCAUGCUUGGGUGUUUUCUUGUUCUUCAAUAAGGGGUUUGCAAGGAUUCAUAGGGCUCCUGCUUUUUUGGCACACCAAACCUGGGAACCUGAAGCACCACACCAAAAAUCAUAUCCACCGUCCCCCUCACCUCUGAGCUUUGCCCUUAAAUCUCUCUGAGAGCUUCCUCAUUCACUUGUGGAUGCCCUCUCUGAGUUUUUUGGUGUGAGGUUGAACAACAGUUCUGGGGAUAAUUAUGAGGCGUGCUUUGGGGUAUGAUGUGGCUGUCUUCUACCUGGUGUUUUUGACCAAAUCAUGAUUUGGGUGGGAGAUUUCUUUAUUACCCUGAUGAAAGCAACCUUAUGACUUUCACGUUCACAAUGGGUUUCAGUCCUAUCAACUAGACGGUUGGGCAUUGGCCAACCGUGGUUAUAACGGGUACAGAGGAUUAGGGUUUGAUCCUGGAGAGGUAGCCUGAGAAAUAGCUCCCACUUCCAUGGAAAGCAGCAGGCGCGCAACGUUCCCAAUGAGUUACGGCUCGAGGACGUUAAGGAACAUAGCAAUACUUAGCCUUAAAAGCUAAGCAAUUGAAAUGGGGGAGUUUAAAUCACCCACCGAGUAACAAUUGGAGGACA
Molecule: ribosomal RNA, 824 nt
Filed under: Tubifera tomentosa
Lineage: Eukaryota; Evosea; Eumycetozoa; Liceales; Reticulariaceae
Description: Tubifera sp. DVL-2019c partial small subunit ribosomal RNA
Rfam family: Eukaryotic small subunit ribosomal RNA
Source: RNAcentral